AACAUUUUGAAAUUUCUAAUUAAUUUAUUAAUUUAAAUAAUAUAACUAUUUUAAAAUUUCUAACUGGAACUAUAAUUAUAAUUAUAAUUAUUUUAACUUUCACAAGUUUCUUAUUAUUUUUAAGCUUAAAUCAUUAAUUUAUUAAUUUAAAUAAUAUAACUAUCUUGAACAUUCUAAUUGGAACUAGAAUUAUAAUUAUUUGAACUUUCACAAGUGAAGACCAAUUCUUAUUUUAAUGUGACAUAAGAGGUUUUAAACUCUAUAGUUUCACUUUACUCAUUCAUUCCAAGUUGUAUCAGUUAUAAUUUUUGUUUCAUCCUCUAGGUAUAGUAUUUUUUGGUUGUUUCAAUUGUUUGCGUUCUCUUCAUCACUUUCAUGUUGAUCUGAACAUUCUCUUUUCAGUGGUUUAAUCACUUUGUGCAGGUCAAACAAUAUUAUUGGUUGGAGUUGUUUGCAUUAGCGGCUAUAUGAACAGCAUCAAAAUAGAAAACAUGUGAUAUAUUUAAUAAGUUUAGAGAGUUGCCUAUGUAAUCAUGUUAUAAACAUGUGUUAAUGGUUUAGUUUCUAAAACGGCUAAAAUAGAUAUAUUCUUAAUGAAUAAUUAGAUUUAUCAUUAUAUAUUAACUAUAAUAAUAAAACUAUCAUUAUAUUUUUUAAAAAUUAAAUGUAAACUUAUGAAAUAUUAAAAUAAGUUAAUGUAUAUAUUUAUCAAGUAAACCAAUGAAAUAUUACCAUUAUCUCAAUUCGUUUUUAAAAAAGUUUUCUUCUAAAUUAUCAUCGAACUUUAUUUUUUAUUUAAUUUUUAUUUAUUUUUUUUACUUGGAUAUGUGUGUUUCAAUGUUUUUUUGGUAAUUUAAUACAUUUUCUGAAUCAGAAAUACAAAGUAGAUUAAGAAAGACCAAAAGUUCACAUUUUUCGUUGUAAAGAAAAAAAGUUCAUAUUUUUACUUUACUUUAUUGUAUGCAAUAUUUGAUAUGCAGUUAUACUCUCAUGGUUUCAUAGUUUUAUGGCUUUGCUUUGUGUUAAGAAGACGUAGAUCAAAAUCAAGUCAAAUAAAACUAAAAUGAUUAAGAAUAUAAAAAAUAAGUUAUCAUCAUCAUGUUUAAAUCAUAAUAGAUAUAUUAAUAAUUAUUAGUAAAACGAUUAUGCUCGCAUGUACGGGUAAAACAUCUAGUUUAAAUUAAAACUCAAAAGGAGUAUGGGUAAAUAGGCAUUUAAAUCUUCAACUAUUUGAAACCGAGAAAAUUGGAGCAGUGGGUCGUAGCCGAGUUAUCAAAUUGGGCUUUGGGUCGCAACGAGUUUUUAUUUGCGGAAUCGCAACAUUUUUUGGAGACUAUAAUUGUAAUACUUCUGGUCAAGGGCAUCAAGUCAACGCAAAGUCAACAACUUAGGAUCAACCAACAUUUGGAGUAUUAUGUUAUAUAAAGUUAUGACUAGAGGUUCGGUCGAAGAGUUUUGAAGAACUUUCGAGCAAAAACCAGAUUUUAUCGCAAAGAUAUAAUCUGAGCUACGAAAGGGUAAUGGUCGAGCAUGGAGAAUUUCCAAAGUUAACAAUUCAAGUAAGACUCAAUCUCAAUCAUCAUGUUGGGUUAGUGGAAGACAUUUUGUUGAAUCAUAAUCAAGUUUGUAUGGGCCCAUAAGGAGAUGGUCAAUAAAGGUUUCAAAGAUGGUUUACGCAGAAGUUUGGUAACGGUCAGAAGACGAAGGUGACUACUAUGAAUCCAGGAGUUAUGGAGUCAAUUUAGGAACCUUGUUUAAGGUAUUUGAAGACAUAUUUGAGAGUUUGGCCAAGACAAAACCAAGAUGGUCCGGAGGAAGACAGUUUUGGCCGAUAUGGUCAAAAUGAGCUAGUUAAGGGCAAACGAAGCCAAAUUGGUUGUGCAAACACGGGAAAGGAGUUCAAAAGAAUGUUUUACAUAUUUCCUCAACUUUUGGAAAUGGUCAACUUGGAAGUCAAAGCCAACUAAAGUCAAAGGAGAGAGAAUGAACCCCAUUGGUCCAUAUAACCCAUUCGAUCAACCAAUAGGAGCAUGCCACAUGAGGGGACCAAAUUCCUUCCAUCCUGGACAUGGUGUGGAAUAAAUCAAGGAGUUUUAUGGUGAAGAAAUUAAUGGCAAAAGACAUCUUGAAAACAAGAAGACAUGGAGAUACCAUUUGUUUCUCAAAAUGGGCUACAAUUGGUAAUGAGAGCUAUGGGCUGAAAAAGGCUUUUAUACAUGAAACCCAUGACAUCUAAGCUUUAUUUAGGACCUAGGGGAAGUAUUGGAUUGGGCUGGAGAACAAGAAAAACAGAUUAGAAGAUUGAAGACCCAAAGGUGUCAAACUGGACCAUUUUUGUGGUUUGGUUAAGGGGAAGAAGGCUAAUGGGAACAUAUCAGGCACAAAAACGACCAUGCAGUGGUUCUUCCCCUACAUACUGUGGUCUACAGGAGCAAGGUAGACAAGCCUAAGGAGUAGGUUUCACAUGUGUUAGGCUUAAAAACUAUUUUGGGGCUAAAAAGUGGUGAGGUAGAAACUAAACUUGGGAAUCAAGUUUCGGACUGAUUUUUGGUGCAGUUACCGUACAUAGGAAGGUGGUUUAUCUUCUAGAAGAUGAGACGUAAAUGGUUUGAUUCAGUGUACUUUUUUGCAUGCAUGCAUUUGGAGUGUAUUUUGGUGACAAGUGGAACUACACAUGUCAAGUGUUCCCAAUCCACUCUUUGGCUAUAAAUAUGAUCCGUAGGAUGAGUUUUAGAAGUUUAGAAUCCCCUUGUGUCUUCUAUCUCAGUUGAUCUUAUGGUUUGUUCUUGAGAGAGGAAAUGGCUAAAACCGAUAAAAAUUUCUAAUUUGUGUGAGGAGAGUGUAGGAGGCUUUUCCGUGUGUUGAUCCUUCACCUAGGAUCUGUUUUGCUGUGCUAGGAGAGGUGGCCUUUUGCUUUUGGAGGUGUUGUGCAGCUUGUGAAGACCUAGGUGGGUUUCCUGCGUGUGUGUGUGCAGGUUGGAGAGCUUGAAAUGUUAGGGUUCUUGAGCUUGAACCCCUUUGCGGUUUGUGUGUGUGUGUUUGGGAGUUGGUAACCAUAGAGGGUCGGGCGUUUGCGGGGUGUGUAGGACGAGGCCAGCGUAGUUUUCCAGUGUUGUUUGCAAGGAGCAAGAUGUUAAUGUUUUCACUCGUUUUGAUUUUCAUGGGUACCCGUUUGAAUUGAUAUUUUCUCUUUGUUGUUGUGUUUGAGGAGUUUAGUCGAGUUCCCAACUUUGUAAAAUAAAUAAAAGUAUGUUUGUUUAAUAAUCCCCGUUGAACGCUGAUAUAUAGUUUUGUCCGAACUUAACACAACUCUUGACCAAGGUACGGGUUGGCAAGCCUUAGGCCGAGGUCGAGAGGGACGUAUAGUGGCCGGACUGGUUGAGACUUUGAAUUUGUUUAAAGUUUUGGCUGGACUGAUUACGGUACUCGUCAAAAUUGUGAUGCUUCUAGGUUGUUCUGGGUUAGUCCGGCCUAGGAUGCUCCAGGGUGUUCAAAUGGUGGUAUCAAAGCAUGGUUGAGAUACCGUGCUUUCGUUGGUGGGUUUUCAAAUGUUUUAUCGAGUCAAAAAGAGUCGCAAACAACAUCACUAGGGAACUGGCACGUCAUCUGCUUAGGACUAGGUAUGUUAGAUCAGCUUUUGGGAAUUUAGGACCUCACCCUUAUCUUGUGUUGCAGUUUCUGGUGUUGGUAAUCGACAGGGUGGGAGUAGAUCGAGGAUGAGGAAUGUGGUACAGUUACGAAGAGUUGGGCAAGUGUCUGGAGCAGCCGGUUAUGAUGGGUCAAGUGAAUCGAGCUCAUCCAGCGAGUCAAUGUCUGAUUCCAACUUUGAAAAUGAGAAUGUGGUCAAGAGCACCGAGAGUUCGCACGUGACCGUGUCAUCCAAGUUUGAGGAAGCUGGGGUACUUGAAGAGAUUGAAGAAGAAUCUGUUCAUUUGGAGGGUAUAAACUUUUCCAAGGCAUGGAAGCCAUUCCGCAAGCAUCAUCCGACUCAUUCAACUUCCAGUACGGUUAUGGCAAUGAGUUAUGGGAGGCAAUGGAGAUCAGUUCAUCCGAUGUGGAGAUCAUUGAACCACCACCGCCGGAAAUCAUCGAGAUCUCAUGAGAAAGCAUGGUGGCUGUCAACAUUGUGGACAUCAGUUCCCGAGAGACCAGUCCGUGGAUCCCAAUACCAGCUUGGAGUCAAGCGUUCUCAUUUGGAGGCUCUAUCGAUUUCAGCUUGGAAAGUAUUGGGCAAUCUUUUGACCCACACUACGAGUACCAUUACUCGCCAAUGCCAAUGGUGUCAUCACCAGCCAAUCCAGAAGCCGAAAUAGAAGCAAGGAAAGUGGACAUGGACGUUCAACAAGAGACCGAAAGGGAAGUUCAGAUGAUGGAGGGUACUCAGAAAGGGAUGACCAGAACAAGUGGAGCUCUAGGAGGACAAGUGGAAAAAGGGGGUACUAGUGGAGGACCAGCAUCAAAUAUUAAACUCUCGCGACAUUCUAACCGGGAAGAAAUGCAAUGUGUGUGGAACAGGUGACCAUCAUACUUGGGCGUGCACCAGGAUUAGGAGUCAGCCGGACUUGAAUGCUUACCUGAUCUGCAGCUCGUGUGAAGCUCAUGGACACUUCGUAGCGGAUUUUCCAAUGACCAGCGUGAUCCGAGCCGUACCCAUCUCUGUCAUUCUCCCUGCCAGCCCGGCUUGAUCAGCCUCAUCUGCAACGGGAGGAUCGAACCGUAGAAACCAUGGCCAUUCUAUGAACCUCGUCGUUGAGCUCGUGGGAGCUAAAGUUUGUGAGUACUGAUCCUUCUCUUUGCGUGUUGUGGCUGUUGUUUUGUUUUGUUGUUGUGUUGCGUGUGCAAUUUUCUUUGUUGUGGCGUUGAGGAUUGUGUGUCCGGGUAGCAAGUGUUGUUUAGUGUGUAGACCUUGCUAAGUUGAGGUAGUUAAGCUUCGCCUUAGGGAACCUUGUUUUUGUUUAGGAGAGAGUGAACCCUAGAGUUUAGGAAGCCAACCCUUAUUUAUAGCCAUGUGAUGUUUUGUAAGUGUUUGUGGUGUCAGAAGGACACAAACCUUGACAAGGUGUACUCAGGAAGACUCGUGCGUGCAUGAAAAAAAUCUAGAAACAGAGGUGACCGUGGUAAAGACCAGCAGCGAGUAUGCAAGACCAAAGCAAUCAGUGGUCGAGUUAGUGAAGAAGCAACCGAGACAGUAAUGGAAAUGUGAAGGCUAGAGUGUAUGGUGUAUUUGGAAUGGUGAUGCCUCAAGGAGUCAAAAGUUAUUGAAGAGGAAAAAGCCGAAGAGUCAAAGAAGAGAUGUCAAGUGAAAGACCAAUCCGAAGAAGUCUAGUGGUGAAGCCCAAACGGUGAAAAGCCAAGAGAAAGAAUGUGACGAGCAUAGAAGAUGAAGCCUAAUCAGGUGUAAGACCAGAGGAGGAUGAGACACUACAGGAAAUAAGGGUUUUGAUGGCACCGCUAAAGCGCUAUAAGACGCUACCAUAGCGUUGUAGAAAGCGCUCCAAUAUCGCCCGCGAUAAUAGGUCUCGUACAUUUCAUAGCGGAUUUUUGUUGUGCUAUUGAUAUUUUAUUAUUAAUAGCGGUUCUUGUUAUGCAAUUGUAAAUUUGUAUUAUAGCGUCGCCAAAAUGAUAUUAUAACUUUUUAACUAUAGCAUUUUUUAAAAUUAAAUAUAGCGAUUUGUAAUUACUAUUGUCGUCUUCUAUCAAUAGCAAUAUUUGAACAUUUCAUUGCAUUUUUUUAUAUGCAAUUGUUUCAUUUUGUUUAUAACAAAUUUUAUUUAAUA
This is a long non-coding RNA of Brassica napus (rape), 5777 nucleotides long. RefSeq lists it as uncharacterized. The transcript has 3 exons. The record is from RefSeq and is a predicted model, not a curated record. NCBI's taxonomy places the organism in Eukaryota, Viridiplantae, Streptophyta, Magnoliopsida, Brassicales, Brassicaceae.